Molecule: ribosomal RNA, 608 nt
Filed under: Methanosarcina sp. enrichment culture clone H09
Lineage: Archaea; Methanobacteriati; Methanobacteriota; Methanomicrobia; Methanosarcinales; Methanosarcinaceae
Description: bacterial SSU rRNA
Rfam family: Archaeal small subunit ribosomal RNA
Source: RNAcentral
AUAUGUUCUUCGUGAACAUGGCGUACUGCUCAGUAACACGUGGAUAACCUGCCCUUGGGUCCGGCAUAACCCCGGGAAACUGGGGAUAAUUCCGGAUAACGCACAUAUGCUGGAAUGCUUUAUGCGUCAAAUGGAUUCGUCUGCCCAAGGAUGGGUCUGCGGCCUAUCAGGUAGUAGUGGGUGUAAUGUACCUACUAGCCGACGACGGGUACGGGUUGUGAGAGCAAGAGCCCGGAGAUGGAUUCUGAGACAUGAAUCCAGGCCCUACGGGGCGCAGCAGGCGCGAAAACUUUACAAUGCGGGAAACCGUGAUAAGGGGACACCGAGUGCCAGCAUCAUAUGCUGGCUGUCCGGGUGUGUAAAAUACACCUGUUAGCAAGGGCCGGGCAAGACCGGUGCCAGCCGCCGCGGUAACACCGGCGGCCCGAGUGGUGAUCGUGAUUAUUGGGUCUAAAGGGUCCGUAGCCGGUUUGGUCAGUCCUCCGGGAAAUCUGACGGCUUAACCGUUAGGCUUUCGGAGGAUACUGCCAGGCUUGGAACCGGGAGAGGUAAGAGGUACUACAGGGGUAGGAGUGAAAUCUUGUAAUCCCUGUGGGACCACCUGUGGC